Molecule: long non-coding RNA, 665 nt
Organism: Rhineura floridana
Lineage: Eukaryota; Metazoa; Chordata; Lepidosauria; Squamata; Rhineuridae
Exons: 2
Source: RefSeq, a predicted model, not a curated record
UGAACUGCUGUGAAGAUACUUUACUUCCAGUCAAGAAACUAUAAAUUACUUCUAUAAAAACACAUUGAAUUCAACACAGAACAGAUGAUUGUGAAGUCAUGAAUUCCAAGAGGAACAAACUAUAAAUUCAGAGCUUCUGCAGACUUGAGCUGCCAACAUGCAACGAGUCACCUACAAGUUGGUAAUUCCAGGGAAGAAGAAGAGGAGGUUCAUGGAAAACCUUUUGUGGGGGAUGGGACAAGGAAGCCCCUAGGAUGCUGACAACAUCUGCAGGAACUAAUUUAACAGGAAAUUUACCUAGAUGCUUCUUGGCCAUGUACAAAGAGCUGCUUAUGACAAAAUUGUUUGCAGACAGUGCUCACUCAAGCUUGCUGGUAAUUAGUGCCAUAUUAGCAUGAAGCCUCAUUACAGCAAGAAAAGGGGGUAUGUUAAUUAAUUCAAUCAUUUGGUUCGCUUGAUAUCUUUUCACUUAAGAUUAUUUUAACUCCAUGGUCAGAUGCCCAGCUAUGACAGCAAAUGGCAUCUUGUAUGCAUGGUAUGGCACAAGAAUAAACAUGUGGCAAGUGACAAAUCUGAAUUUUUUAAAUAAAUAGCCUUGAAAAAUUUAUAUUACAACUGGAAUGUUAAAUCAGUUGGAAAUAUAUCAGUAAAAACAGGUGAUUGUA